RNAcentral lists this ribosomal RNA (653 nucleotides) under Bacillus safensis. Its description in RNAcentral is "bacterial SSU rRNA". It matches the Rfam family "Bacterial small subunit ribosomal RNA", at positions 56 to 694 of the family's 1533-position model. Lineage: Bacteria; Bacillati; Bacillota; Bacilli; Caryophanales; Bacillaceae. The record is from RNAcentral.
UGCAGUCGAGCGGACAGAAGGGAGCUUGCUCCCGGAUGUUAGCGGCGGACGGGUGAGUAACACGUGGGUAACCUGCCUGUAAGACUGGGAUAACUCCGGGAAACCGGAGCUAAUACCGGAUAGUUCCUUGAACCGCAUGGUUCAAGGAUGAAAGACGGUUUCGGCUGUCACUUACAGAUGGACCCGCGGCGCAUUAGCUAGUUGGUGGGGUAAUGGCUCACCAAGGCGACGAUGCGUACCCGACCUGAGAGGGUGAUCGGCCACACUGGGACUGAGACACGGCCCAGACUCCUACGGGAGGCAGCAGUAGGGAAUCUUCCGCAAUGGACGAAAGUCUGACGGAGCAACGCCGCGUGAGUGAUGAAGGUUUUCGGAUCGUAAAGCUCUGUUGUUAGGGAAAAACAAGUGCGAGAGUAACUGCUCGCACCUUGACGGUACCUAACCAGAAAGCCACGGCUAACUACGUGCCAGCAGCCGCGGUAAUACAUAGGUGGCAAGCGUUGUCCGGAAUUAUUGGGCGUAAAGGGCUCGCAGGCGGUUUCUUAAUUCUGAUGUGAAAGCCCCCGGCUCAACCGGGGAGGGUCAUUGGAAACUGGGAACUUGAGUGCAAAAGAGGAGAGUGAAAUUCCACGUGUAGCGGUGAAAUGCAUAGA